GAUUUCAAUGCCGCUACUGCUGAACCAGAUACAUUAAGAUGAAAACACAAUAUUGAUGGGCAAUUCUCUGUUAAAAGGGUUUAUGAAAAAGAAGAAAGGGUAGAGUGUAGAGGGCAACCAAAAAUAUGGAGAAACUUAUGGAAUAGUCCAUCCCCAACCAAGGUAAAAUGCUUUACUUGGCUGGUGGUUAAAAGAGCAUGCCUGACACAAGAAGUUUUGAAGAAAAAGAGGGCCAUUACAGUUUCCAGGUGCUUCUUAUGCAAUGAGAAAUGUUAGUCAUCUGUUUUUACACGGCACUUUUACAGCACAGCUUUGGUCUCUAUUUCUCAACAUAACAAAGACAGGUUGGAUUAUGCUGGAGCAUACUGCAGAUUUGCUUAGAUAUUUCCAAAGCUAUUCUUGGCAUAUGCUCCACCCUCAUGCCCAGCAUACAUAAAAAGAGAUCCAGAAUGCUUAAGAGAGACCUCCACAGUAGCCAAGCCUUUGGAGACCAUCUCUAUCAUCCUUGUCCUAAUCUCCUGAUCUGAUUUCUCAUUCUCAAAUUUUGGGUAGAAAGUGGCCCUUAU
This 566-nucleotide unclassified non-coding RNA is filed under the name Hevea brasiliensis (rubber tree). The record is from RNAcentral. Lineage: Eukaryota; Viridiplantae; Streptophyta; Magnoliopsida; Malpighiales; Euphorbiaceae.